GACGAACGCUGGCGGCGUGCUUAACACAUGCAAGUCGAACGGAAAGGCCCUGCUUUUGUGGGGUGCUCGAGUGGCGAACGGGUGAGUAACACGUGAGUAACCUGCCCUUGACUUUGGGAUGACUUCAGGAAACUGGGGCUAAUACCGGAUAGGAGCUCCUGCUGCAUGGUGGGGGUUGGAAAGUUUCGGCGGUUGGGGAUGGACUCGCGGCUUAUCAGCUUGUUGGUGGGGUAGUGGCUUACCAAGGCUUUGACGGGUAGCCGGCCUGAGAGGGUGACCGGCCACAUUGGGACUGAGAUACGGCCCAGACUCCUACGGGAGGCAGCAGUGGGGAAUAUUGCACAAUGGGCGGAAGCCUGAUGCAGCAACGCCGCGUGCGGGAUGACGGCCUUCGGGUUGUAAACCGCUUUCGCCUGUGACGAAGCGUGAGUGACGGUAAUGGGUAAAGAAACACCGGCUAACUACGU
This 467-nucleotide ribosomal RNA is filed under the name uncultured bacterium. Its description in RNAcentral is "partial 16S ribosomal RNA". It matches the Rfam family "Bacterial small subunit ribosomal RNA", at positions 28 to 506 of the family's 1533-position model. The record is from RNAcentral.